RNAcentral lists this ribosomal RNA (253 nucleotides) under uncultured bacterium. Its description in RNAcentral is "partial 16S ribosomal RNA". It matches the Rfam family "Bacterial small subunit ribosomal RNA", at positions 524 to 776 of the family's 1533-position model. The record is from RNAcentral.
UACGUAGGUGGCAAGCGUUGUCCGGAUUUACUGGGCGUAAAGAGCGCGCAGGCGGUCGUCCAAGUCGCGUGUGAAAGCCCCCGGCUCAACUGGGGAGGGUCAUUCGAAACUGGUCGACUCGAAGGCAGGAGAGGGUAGUGGAAUUCCCGGUGUAGUGGUGAAAUGCGUAGAUAUCGGGAGGAACACCAGUGGCGAAGGCGACUACCUGGCCUGUUCUUGGCGCUGAGGCGCGAAAGCUAGGGGAGCAAACGGG